AACAAGGCGUACCUGCGGACCUGCGGAGGGAUCAUUACCGAGUUUACAACUCCCAAACCCCUGUGAACAUACCUAUACGUUGCCUCGGCGGAUCAGCCCGCGCCCCGUAAAACGGGACGGCCCGCCCGAGGACCCUAAACUCUGUUUUUAGUGGAACUUCUGAGUAAAACAAACAAAUAAAUCAAAACUUUUAGCAAUGGAUCU
This 204-nucleotide unclassified non-coding RNA is filed under the name soil metagenome. RNAcentral's name for it is "partial contains 5.8S ribosomal RNA, internal transcribed spacer 2, and large subunit ribosomal RNA". The record is from RNAcentral.